GAUGAACGCUGGCGGCGUGCUUAACACAUGCAAGUCGAACGGGAUCCCAGGAGCUUGCUCCUGGGUGAGAGUGGCGAACGGGUGAGUAAUGCGUGACCGACCUGCCCCAUACACCGGAAUAGCUCCUGGAAACGGGUGGUAAUGCCGGAUGCUCCAGUUGACCGCAUGGUCCUCUGGGAAAGAUUCAUCGGUAUGGGAUGGGGUCGCGUCCUAUCAGCUUGAUGGCGGGGUAACGGCCCACCAUGGCUUCGACGGGUAGCCGGCCUGAGAGGGCGACCGGCCACAUUGGGACUGAGAUACGGCCCAGACUCCUAUGGGAGGCAGCAGUGGGGAAUAUUGCACAAUGGGCGCAAGCCUGAUGCAGCGACGCCGCGUGCGGGAUGACGGCCUUCGGGUUGUAAACCGCUUUUGACUGGGAGCAAGCCCUUCGGGGUGAGUGUACCUUUCGAAUAAGCAC
RNAcentral lists this ribosomal RNA (457 nucleotides) under uncultured bacterium. RNAcentral describes it as "bacterial SSU rRNA". It matches the Rfam family "Bacterial small subunit ribosomal RNA", at positions 28 to 493 of the family's 1533-position model. The record is from RNAcentral.